AACGCGAAGAACCUUACCCAGGCUUGACAUCCUUGGAAUUUCUCCGAAAGGAGAGAGUGCCUUUGGAACCAAGUGACAGGUGAUGCAUGGCCGUCUUCAGCUCGUGUCGUGAGAUGUUUGGUUAAGUCCAUCAACGAGCGCAACCCUUAUGUUUAGUUGAAUUUCUCUAAACAGACUGCCCUGGUAACAGGGAGGAAGGGGGGAGUGAUGUCAGGUCAGUAUUUCCCUUACGUCUGGGGCGUACAAACACGCUACAAUGGCCAGUACAAAGGGCAGCCAAGUCGCAAGGCGGAGCAAAUCCCAUCAAAACUGGUCUCAGUUCGGAUUGCAGGCUGAAACUCGCCUGCAUGAAGCCGGAAUCGCUAGUAACGGUAAGUCAGCACAUUACCGUGAAUACGUUCCCGGGCCUUGUACACACCGUACGUC
RNAcentral lists this ribosomal RNA (426 nucleotides) under uncultured bacterium. RNAcentral describes it as "bacterial SSU rRNA". It matches the Rfam family "Bacterial small subunit ribosomal RNA", at positions 958 to 1398 of the family's 1533-position model. The record is from RNAcentral.